RNAcentral lists this ribosomal RNA (490 nucleotides) under uncultured Actinomycetales bacterium. Its description in RNAcentral is "bacterial SSU rRNA". It matches the Rfam family "Bacterial small subunit ribosomal RNA", at positions 36 to 560 of the family's 1533-position model. Lineage: Bacteria; Bacillati; Actinomycetota; Actinomycetes; Actinomycetales. The record is from RNAcentral.
CUGGCGGCGUGCUAACACAUGCAAGUCGAACGAGAAAGUGGAGCAUCCAUGAGUACAGUGGCGACCGGGUGAGUACACGUGACUAACCUGCCCUCGAGUGGGGAAUAACUCCGGGAAACCGGAGCGAGAUACCGCAUAACAUCGCAAGAUCAAAGCCGAAAGGCGCUUGAGGAGGGGGUCGCGGCUGAUUAGCUAGUUGGUAGGGUAACGGCCUACCAAGGCUGAGAUCGGUAUCCGGCCUGAGAGGGCGCACGGACACACUGGAACUGAGACACGGUCCAGACUCCUACGGGAGGCAGCAGUGGGGAAUUUUGCGCAAUGGGGGAAACCCUGACGCAGCAACGCCGCGUGGAGGAUGAAGUCCCUUGGGACGUAAACUCCUUUCGACCCGGACGAUACUGACGGUACGGGUGGAAGAAGCACCGGCUAACUCUGUGCCAGCAGCCGCGGUAAUACAGAGGGUGCGAGCGUUGUUCGGAAUUAUUGGGCG